CCGGAGUGGACGCAUCACUGGUGUUCGGGUUGUCAUGCCAAUGGCACUGCCCGGUAGCUAAAUGCGGAAGAGAUAAGUGCUGAAAGCAUCUAAGCACGAAACUUGCCCCGAGAUGAGUUCUCCCUGACUCCUUGAGAGUCCUGAAGGAACGUUGAAGACGACGACGUUGAUAGGCCGGGUGUGUAAGCGCAGCGAUGCGUUGAGCUAACCGGUACUAAUGAACCGUGAGGCUUAACCUUACAACGCCGAAGGUGUUU
RNAcentral lists this ribosomal RNA (257 nucleotides) under Escherichia coli. Its description in RNAcentral is "partial 23S ribosomal RNA". It matches the Rfam family "Bacterial large subunit ribosomal RNA", at positions 2692 to 2925 of the family's 2925-position model. The record is from RNAcentral. Lineage: Bacteria; Pseudomonadati; Pseudomonadota; Gammaproteobacteria; Enterobacterales; Enterobacteriaceae.